This 652-nucleotide ribosomal RNA is filed under the name Machilis rubrofusca. Its description in RNAcentral is "eukaryotic LSU rRNA". The stretch from base 522 to 652 matches the Rfam family "Eukaryotic large subunit ribosomal RNA", at positions 1 to 131 of the family's 3401-position model. The record is from RNAcentral. RNAcentral also lists the same sequence under 3 other names. Lineage: Eukaryota; Metazoa; Arthropoda; Insecta; Archaeognatha; Machilidae.
CAUUGCGGCUCGGGAUCCUGAUCUCGGGCCACACCUGACUGAGGGUCGGUGAUAUCAUAAGAGCAAAUUGUAUUGAGCGACGUCCGACAUUCACUUGUCGAACGCGCAUCAAAUUCAAAGAAAGACUCGGAGAAGGCCGCCUCUCUCUGAAAGGCAAAAAGUCCAAAACGGACGGCACGAACGCCUCUAGUGUCGUCACGCUGGUCUGUCAGUCUCUCGAAAAAUCGGCAAAGUCCAAAACGGACGGCACGAACGUCUCUAGUGUCGUCACGCUGGUCUUCUGUCGAAAGAGAGUGAGAGGGGAGACUUGAACGGUCGUCGUGAGUACGUGUCUUUGUGUUUUAUUUGGAAAUAGAUCGCAAAGCAGUUGUCGGUGGAGUAACGGAACCCUCUCAGGAGGCAACCGAGAAAGAUCGCACUCUGCUUAAUCGCGGACUGGCCAGUGAAAACAAGACUCCGAAAGCGCGCAUCGUCUCGUCGUUCGGUUACGACUCCGUAAAAAUGAUAUUAUUGAUUGAUCGCGACCUCAGAUCAGGUGAGACUACCCGCUAAAUUUAAGCAUAUUAAUAAGCGGAGGAAAAGAAACUAACAAGGAUUCCCUGAGUAGCGGCGAGCGAAAAGGGAAAAGCCCAGCACCGAAUCUCGUACCGUG